This 552-nucleotide long non-coding RNA is filed under the name Junco hyemalis (dark-eyed junco). RNAcentral's name for it is "lncRNA (ENSJHYG00000013119.1)". Lineage: Eukaryota; Metazoa; Chordata; Aves; Passeriformes; Passerellidae. The record is from RNAcentral.
UGUGUUGUGACAGAGCAUUUAGUGCUCUGGGGCUAAAAGCUGCCUGCUUUUCCUGCUGUCUCCCAGGGCUGGUGAUUUUAUCACUUCUGCUCCUAGCAUCCUUCUUUUCUUCCCAUAUAUCAGCUGCCCCUUGCCCCCUCCUCUAAAUUUAUCCAGUUGAUCAACAUAAUUCAGUAAAAUUUAGUAAUUGUUUUCAACUUUUACUUCCCUUUGAAGUUAGCUAGAAGACAUGUCGGGAAGCUGCUCGGAUUCUCCCACAACGUAAUCUAGAAAUUAUAAAAACUACUACUGAAGAUACUGUCUCUCCUUAUGGAGUUGCCUUCUUUGUGUCUGCACCUGUCAAGAUCCCACUCUGGAACAGAAGAUCAGAGCAAAUGGGGGCUGAGGAGAACAAAAGCUGCCCCAAACCUUUGACCUAAAUUUAACAUAAAGCCAAAUGAAACCUUAGAGGUUUGUAGAUGUUCAUAAAACAUUUCCACCUCCUGGUCCCCUUUCCUUUAUCUUUGGUUUCUUUAUACUUCUACAUUUAACUGUUUCUAAUUGAAAGUCUAA